This 478-nucleotide ribosomal RNA is filed under the name uncultured Glomus. Its description in RNAcentral is "SSU rRNA". It matches the Rfam family "Eukaryotic small subunit ribosomal RNA", at positions 569 to 1051 of the family's 1831-position model. Lineage: Eukaryota; Fungi; Glomeromycota; Glomeromycetes; Glomerales; Glomeraceae. The record is from RNAcentral.
AGCAGCCGCGGUAAUUCCAGCUCCAAUAGCGUAUAUUAAAGUUGUUGCAGUUAAAAAGCUCGUAGUUGAAUUUCGGGGUCAGUAGGUCGGUCGUGCCACUGGUAUGAACUGGUUUUACUGAUUCCUCCCUCUUGAAGAACUGUAAUGCCAUUAAUUUGGUGUUGCAGGGAAUCAGGACUGUUACUUUGAAAAGAUUAGAGUGUUUAAAGCAGGCUUUAGCUUGAAUACAUUAGCAUGGAAUAAUGAAAUAGGACGUUUGAUCCUAUUUUGUUGGUUUCUAGGAUUGACGUAAUGAUUAAUAGGGAUAGUUGGGGGCAUUAGUAUUCAAUUGUCAGAGGUGAAAUUCUUGGAUUUAUUGAAGACUAACUACUGCGAAAGCAUUUGCCAAGGAUGUUUUCAUUAAUCAAGAACGAAAGUUAGGGGAUCGAAGACGAUCAGAUACCGUCGUAGUCUUAACCAUAAACUAUGCCGACUAGGG